Molecule: ribosomal RNA, 515 nt
Filed under: uncultured bacterium
Lineage: Bacteria
Description: partial 16S ribosomal RNA
Rfam family: Bacterial small subunit ribosomal RNA
Source: RNAcentral
GAUGAACGCUGGCGGCGUGCCUAAUACAUGCAAGUCGAGCGAAUGGAUUAAGAGCUUGCUCUUAUGAAGUUAGCGGCGGACGGGUGAGUAACACGUGGGUAACCUGCCCAUAAGACUGGGAUAACUCCGGGAAACCGGGGCUAAUACCGGAUAACAUUUUGAACCGCAUGGUUCGAAAUUGAAAGGCGGCUUCGGCUGUCACUUAUGGAUGGACCAGCGUCGCAUUAGCUAGUUGGUGAGGUAACGGCUCACCAAGGCAACGAUGCGUAGCCGGACUGAGAGGGUGAUCGGCCACACUGGGACUGAGACACGGCCCAGACUCCUGCGGGAGGCAGCAGUAGGGAAUCUUCCGCAAUGGACGAAAGUCUGACGGAGCAACGCCGCGUGAGUGAUGAAGGCUUUCGGGUCGUAAAACUCUGUUGUUAGGGAAGAACAAGUGCUAGUUGAAUAAGCUGGCACCUUGACGGUACCUAACCAGAAAGCCACGGCUAACUACGUGCCAGCAGCCGCCGUAA